ACCCGCUGAACUUAAGCAUAUCAAUAAGCGGAGGAAAAGAAACCAACAGGGAUUGCCCCAGUAACGGCGAGUGAAGCGGCAAGAGCUCAAAUUUGAAAGCUGGCCCCCUCGGGGUCCGCAUUGUAAUUUGCAGAGGAUGCUUCGGGAGUGGCCCCCAUCUAAGUGCUCUGGAACGGGCCGUCAUAGAGGGUGAGAAUCCCGUAUGGGAUGGGGUGUCCGCGACCAUGUGAAGCUCCUUCAACGAGUCGAGUUGUUUGGGAAUGCAGCUCUAAAUGGGUGGUAAAUUUCAUCUAAAGCUAAAUAUUGGCCGGAGACCGAUAGCGCACAAGUAGAGUGAUCGAAAGAUGAAAAGCACUUUGAAAAGAGAGUUAAAAAGCACGUGAAAUUGUUGAAAGGGAAGCGCUUGCGACCAGACUCGCCUGCGGGGUUCAGCCGGUAUUCGUACCGGUGUACUUCCCCGUGGGCGGGCCAGCGUCGGUUUGGGCGGCCGGUCAAAGGCCCUCGGAAUGUAACGCCUCUCGGGGCGUCUUAUAGCCGAGGGUGCCAUGCGGCCAGCCCGGACCGAGGAACGCGCUUCGGCACGGACGCUGGCAUAAUGGUCGUAAGCGACCCGUCUUGAAACACGG
Molecule: ribosomal RNA, 626 nt
Filed under: uncultured fungus
Lineage: Eukaryota; Fungi
Description: LSU rRNA
Rfam family: Eukaryotic large subunit ribosomal RNA
Source: RNAcentral